RNAcentral lists this ribosomal RNA (254 nucleotides) under uncultured bacterium. RNAcentral describes it as "partial 16S ribosomal RNA". It matches the Rfam family "Bacterial small subunit ribosomal RNA", at positions 524 to 776 of the family's 1533-position model. The record is from RNAcentral.
UACGUAGGGUGCGAGCGUUGUCCGGAAUUACUGGGCGUAAAGAGCUCGUAGGUGGUUUGUCGCGUCGUCUGUGAAAUUCCGGGGCUUAACUCCGGGCGUGCAGGCGAUACGGGCAUAACUUGAGUGCUGUAGGGGAGACUGGAAUUCCUGGUGUAGCGGUGGAAUGCGCAGAUAUCAGGAGGAACACCGAUGGCGAAGGCAGGUCUCUGGGCAGUAACUGACGCUGAGGAGCGAAAGCAUGGGGAGCGAACAGG